GGCGCUGUGGCCCAAGUGGUAGAGCGCUUGCCUAGCAUGCAUGAGGCCCUGGGUUCGAUUCCUCAGUACCC
RNAcentral lists this transfer RNA (71 nucleotides) under Dipodomys ordii (Ord's kangaroo rat). It matches the Rfam family "tRNA". Rfam says of the family: Transfer RNA (tRNA) molecules are approximately 80 nucleotides in length. Their secondary structure includes four short double-helical elements and three loops (D, anti-codon, and T loops). The record is from Rfam by way of RNAcentral. Lineage: Eukaryota; Metazoa; Chordata; Mammalia; Rodentia; Heteromyidae.